This 952-nucleotide ribosomal RNA is filed under the name Didymella glomerata. RNAcentral describes it as "eukaryotic LSU rRNA". It matches the Rfam family "Eukaryotic large subunit ribosomal RNA", at positions 76 to 1048 of the family's 3401-position model. Lineage: Eukaryota; Fungi; Ascomycota; Dothideomycetes; Pleosporales; Didymellaceae. The record is from RNAcentral.
UGCCCUAGUAACGGCGAGUGAAGCGGCAACAGCUCAAAUUUGAAAUCUGGCGUCUUCGGCGUCCGAGUUGUAAUUUGCAGAGGGCGCUUUGGCAUUGGCAGCGGUCCAAGUUCCUUGGAACAGGACGUCACAGAGGGUGAGAAUCCCGUACGUGGUCGCUAGCCUUUACCGUGUAAAGCCCCUUCGACGAGUCGAGUUGUUUGGGAAUGCAGCUCUAAAUGGGAGGUAAAUUUCUUCUAAAGCUAAAUACUGGCCAGAGACCGAUAGCGCACAAGUAGAGUGAUCGAAAGAUGAAAAGCACUUUGGAAAGAGAGUUAAAAAGCACGUGAAAUUGUUGAAAGGGAAGCGCUUGCAGCCAGACUUGCCUGUAGUUGCUCAUCCGGGUUUUUACCCGGUGCACUCUUCUAUAGGCAGGCCAGCAUCAGUUUGGGCGGUUGGAUAAAGGUCUCUGUCAUGUACCUCUCUUCGGGGAGAACUUAUAGGGGAGACGACAUGCAACCAGCCUGGACUGAGGUCCGCGCAUCUGCUAGGAUGCUGGCGUAAUGGCUGUAAGCGGCCCGUCUUGAAACACGGACCAAGGAGUCUAACAUCUAUGCGAGUGUUUGGGUGUCAAGCCCGAGCGCGUAAUGAAAGUGAACGGAGGUGGGAACCUUUCGGGGUGCACCAUCGACCGAUCCUGAUGUCUUCGGAUGGAUUUGAGUAAGAGCAUAGCUGUUGGGACCCGAAAGAUGGUGAACUAUGCUUGAAUAGGGUGAAGCCAGAGGAAACUCUGGUGGAGGCUCGCAGCGGUUCUGACGUGCAAAUCGAUCGUCAAAUUUGGGCAUAGGGGCGAAAGACUAAUCGAACUAUCUAGUAGCUGGUUCCUGCCGAAGUUUCCCUCAGGAUAGCAGUAACGUUUUCAGUUUUAUGAGGUAAAGCGAAUGAUUAGAGGCCUGGGGGUUGAAACAACCUU